This 1671-nucleotide long non-coding RNA is filed under the name Anser brachyrhynchus (Pink-footed goose). Its description in RNAcentral is "lncRNA (ENSABRG00000011904.1)". Lineage: Eukaryota; Metazoa; Chordata; Aves; Anseriformes; Anatidae. The record is from RNAcentral.
GCAAGGGAAGGGCAGGGAAGGAAAAGGGAAGGAAAAGGGCAGGGCAGGAAAAGGGAAGGGAAGAGAAGAGAAGAGAAAAGAAAAAAGAAAAGAAAAAAAGGAAAAGAAAGGGAAAGGGAAGGGCAGGAAAGGGCGGGAAAGGGAAGGGCAGGAAAGGGAAGGGCAGGAAAGGAAAGGGCAGGAAAGGAAAGGAAAAAAGAAAAAAGGGCAGGGCAAGGGCAGGGAAAGGGCAGGGAAAGGGCAGGGAAGGUCAGGGAAAGGUCAAGGGAAGGGCAGGGAAGGAAAAGGGAAGGAAAAGGGAAGGGCAGGGAAGGGAAGGGCAGGGCCGGGCAGCGAAGGGAAGGGAAGGGAAAGUAAAGGGCAGGGCAGGAAAGGGCUGGGCAGGGCAGGAAAGGAAAGGAAAGGAAAAAAGAAAAAAGGGCAGGGCAGUGCAAGGGCAGGGAAAGGGCAGGGAAAGGGAAGGGCAGGGAAAGGGAAGGGCAGGGACAGGUGGGAAGGGCAAGGGAAGAGCAGGGAAAGGGCAAGGGAAGGGCAGGGAAGGAAAAGGGAAGGGAAGGGAAGGAAAAGGGCAGGGCAGGAAAGGGAAGGAAAGAGUGAAAACAUUCAGAAGAGAGCUGAGGUUUAUAAGAAUCAGUCUUCUGGGUCAUCAUCUUCAGAGUUGUUAUGAUUGACUUUUCACUUAUACAGGACAACCACAUUUAUAUUUAGGUCACCUAUGAAAUGUUUAUUCAUCCACCUGUUCCCUUUCUGGAAAGAAGUAGACACAGACUGGAUCCAUGUUUUUGGGUUAUUUGGACCCAAUAGAAUGUGCAUAUGAAAUACAACUGACAACACACUGGAUUCCUGGAGUCUCAGAACCAGUGAAUCACAGAAUGUUUGAGGUAUGAAAGGAGCUUCUGGAGGCCAUCUGGUCCAAAACCCCUGCUCAAUAAGGGCCAACUAAAGCAGGUUGUCCAGGACCAUGUCCAUAUGGCUUUUGAUUAUCUCCAAGAAGGGAGACUCCACAAUCACUCUGGGCAACCUGUCUCAGUGCUCAGUCACCUGCACAGUAAAUACUUGCUUCCUGAUGUUGACAAAGAACCUCCUGUGUUCCAGUGUGUGCCCAUUGUUCCUUGUCCUGUCAAUGGGCACCACUGAAAAGAGCCUGGCUACAUCUUCUUUGUACCCUUCCUUCAGGUGUUUAUAAACACUGAUAGGAUCCCCCCUGAGCCUUCUUUUUUCUAGGCUAAACAGUCCCAGAUUUCUUAGCCUCUCCUGAUAGGAGACAUGCUUCAGUCCCUUGAUCAUCUUUGUGGCCUUUCAUUGCACUUUCUCCAGUAUGUUUAUAUCUCUCUUGUACUGAGAUAAUGGGGGCAGAAGAAAUGUAGAGAAGUUUUUAAGCACCUGAAGGAUUAUGUAAAUUGUUCAUCCUACUGAAGGUAAACAUAACAACCCCUCAGACAGUCUAGAAUCAUAUCAUAGAAUCAUACCAUAGAAUGGCUUGGGUUGGAAGGGACCUUAAGAAUCUCGUUCCACCCCCACUGAUAUUGGAAGGGAUGCCACCCACUAGAUCAGGUUGCCCAGGGCCUCAUCCAACCUGGCCUUGAACACCUCCAGGGAUGGGGCUUCCACAACUUCUCUGGGCAACCUAUUCCAGUACCUCAGCACCCUCUGAGUGAAGAAUUUCCUCCU